Molecule: long non-coding RNA, 413 nt
Organism: Pelobates fuscus (common spadefoot toad)
Lineage: Eukaryota; Metazoa; Chordata; Amphibia; Anura; Pelobatidae
Exons: 3
Source: RefSeq, a predicted model, not a curated record
UGCUACGAAACCGCAGCCAUCUAGUCAUUCGCCAGAGAAGGAUGAGAAACUGCACCCCAGCGAGAGGGACUGCCCCACAUCUGCAACCAAAUCCGUCGGUCACCGAAUUCAGUAAUCUCCGUCUCUUUGUGCAUUCUCUCUGACAAGCAUGUUCUCCUAUGGGACACAAGUACAUGAAGUGGAAUGAAGGAGCCCAUGUUUGAUGCUCGUCUCCAGGGUGGAGUAUUGAAUUUAUAAGUAAUGAAGUGGCAUCUGACACGUGACAAGCUGGUCCUGUUAGCACAGCGACUUCAACAUUGUGUUCUGUGAUCACGGCAUAGUUCAGAGAACAAGGUGAUCCUCUCAAUGUUACACUCCUUUACUGAUGGUUCCAGUGCCAGAGAAAAACCCACCACCAUUAACCUCGACUUGCU